RNAcentral lists this ribosomal RNA (450 nucleotides) under uncultured bacterium. RNAcentral's name for it is "bacterial SSU rRNA". It matches the Rfam family "Bacterial small subunit ribosomal RNA", at positions 354 to 796 of the family's 1533-position model. The record is from RNAcentral.
GUAGGGAAUCUUCGGCAAUGGACGAAAGUCUGACCGAGCAACGCCGCGUGAGCGAAGAAGGCCUUCGGGUCGUAAAGCUCUGUUGUUAGAGAAGAACAUGGGUGAGAGUAACUGUUCACCCCUUGACGGUAUCUAACCAGAAAGCCACGGCUAACUACGUGCCAGCAGCCGCGGUAAUACGUAGGUGGCAAGCGUUGUCCGGAAUUAUUGGGCGUAAAGCGCGCGCAGGCGGUCUCUUAAGUCUGAUGUGAAAGCCCCCGGCUCAACCGGGGAGGGUCAUUGGAAACUGGGAGACUUGAGGACAGAAGAGGAGAGUGGAAUUCCAAGUGUAGCGGUGAAAUGCGUAGAUAUUUGGAGGAACACCAGUGGCGAAGGCGGCUCUCUGGUCUGUUACUGACGCUGAGGCGCGAAAGCGUGGGGAGCAAACAGGAUUAGAAACCCGUGUAGUCC